This 950-nucleotide long non-coding RNA is filed under the name Homo sapiens (human). Its description in RNAcentral is "HSALNT0025996". The record is from RNAcentral. Lineage: Eukaryota; Metazoa; Chordata; Mammalia; Primates; Hominidae.
UCUGUCACUCAGGCUGGAGUGCAGUAGCGUGAUCUCGGCUCACUGCAAUAUCUGCCACCCAGGUUCAAGCAAUUCUCCUGCUCAGCCUCCCGAGUAGCUGGGAUUACAGGCGCCUGCCACCACGCCCAGCUAAUUUUUGUAGUUUUUAGUAGAGGUGGAGUUUCACCAUCUUGGCCAGGCUGGUCUUGAACUCCUGACCUCGUGAUCCACUCACCUCAGCCUCCCAAAGUGCUGGGAUUAUAGGCAUGAGCCACCGGGCCUGGCUGCAAUUAUUUCUAUUUCCUUAAAAUACAAAAAGCAAAUAAACUGGUAGAAAUAACAUGAAAAAAAAGGUAGUGAGUAAAAGAUGUGAAUAUCUAGCAAAAAGGAGAGCCGCUGAAUGUCUCCACUUUGGGGAAUUCUGAGUUAAUGAGAACCCCACUGUGGCACCGAGUCCUGGGAAGGGGACUGGCUAUGGACCCGGCAGCCCUGAUCCUACCCCAGUCCUAGGCCUGGGUAGUGCUGUGGUCACUGCUUUGCCUGUAAAACUUUGCCAUUUUUUCCACCCCACAGGGUCCGAGGUCUCCUAAUCUACCUGGCCAGCUUCCCUUGUCUCAGGGGUGACAGCGUCCCAUUUUGCCUUUGUGGCAGAACAAGGAGAACCGCACCCACAGGUGAUCAAGGCUGUGGCUCAGAAGCGGCGCCAUCUGUGGCGGUCAUGGGCAGGUGGCCCCACAGGCCUGGGUCUGGGCAACACAGAUCUAACUCCAUGGAGCCGAGUGCCUGGCACACCUGGCUCAGCACUGAGGACAGAGUCCAGCCCACGAAGGCAUUUGCUGAACGAACGACCAAGUGGCGGCGACUAUUGGUGAUAACUGGGCCAACCCGAGGGCCCUUCUGAACCAUCUUCUUACAACAUGUGCUCACACCGGACUAUGGAUGGACAUCUCCAGCCUGAUUUAUUUCACCGC